Molecule: ribosomal RNA, 480 nt
Filed under: uncultured bacterium
Lineage: Bacteria
Description: partial 16S ribosomal RNA
Rfam family: Bacterial small subunit ribosomal RNA
Source: RNAcentral
GAUGAACGCUAGCGGCAGGCCUAAUACAUGCAAGUCGAGGGAGAGGUUACGGUGGUUUAACCAAAACCGUCGCACGGGGGCGUAACGCGUAUACAAUCAUCCCUUCACAUAGGGAUAGGCCGAAGAAAUGUGGAUUAAUACCUAAUGGGAUAUAAAAGCUGCAUCGCUUUUAUAUUAAAUCUACGGUAGUUAAGGAUGAGUAUGCGUUCUGUUAGCUAGUUGGAUAGGUAACGGCUCACCAAGGCGACGAUAGAUAGGGGUUCUGAGAGGGAUGUCCCCCACACUGGUACUGCGAUCCGGACCCGAAUCCUACGGGAGGCAGCAGUGAGGAAUAUUGGACACUGGUGGGAAGACUGAUCCAGCCAUGCCGCGUGCAGGAUGAAGGUCAUCUGGAUUGUAAACUGCUUUUGUAAGGGAAGAAUAUAAGCUACGUGUAGUUUUAUGACGGUACCUUACGAAUAAGCAACGGCUAACUACGUG